GACGAACGCGGCGGCGUGCCUAAUACAUGCAAGUAGAACGCUGAAGGAGGAGCUUGCUUCUCUGGAUGAGUUGCGAACGGGUGAGUAACGCGUAGGUAACCUGCCUGGUAGCGGGGGAUAACUAUUGGAAACGAUAGCUAAUACCGCAUAAGAGUAGAUGUUGCAUGACAUUUGCUUAAAAGGUGCAAUUGCAUCACUACCAGAUGGACCUGCGUUGUAUUAGCUAGUUGGUGAGGUAACGGCUCACCAAGGCAACGAUACAUAGCCGACCUGAGAGGGUGAUCGGCCACACUGGGACUGAGACACGGCCCAGACUCCUACGGGAGGCAGCAGUAGGGAAUCUUCGGCAAUGGGGGGAACCCUGACCGAGCAACGCCGCGUGAGUGAAGAAAGGUUUUUGGAUCGUAAAGCUUCUGUUGUAAAGAGAAAGAAACGAGUGUGAAGAAGUGGAA
Molecule: ribosomal RNA, 452 nt
Filed under: Streptococcus mitis
Lineage: Bacteria; Bacillati; Bacillota; Bacilli; Lactobacillales; Streptococcaceae
Description: bacterial SSU rRNA
Rfam family: Bacterial small subunit ribosomal RNA
Source: RNAcentral